UGGGGAAUUUUGGACAAUGGGCGCAAGCCUGAUCCAGCCAUGCCGCGUGCAGGAAGAAGGCCUUCGGGUUGUAAACUGCUUUUGUCAGGGAAGAAAUCCUUUGGGUUAAUACCUCGAAGGGAUGACGGUACCUGAAGAAUAAGCACCGGCUAACUACGUGCCAGCAGCCGCGGUAAUACGUAGGGUGCGAGCGUUAAUCGGAAUUACUGGGCGUAAAGCGUGCGCAGGCGGCUUUGCAAGACAGAUGUGAAAUCCCCGGGCUCAACCUGGGAACUGCAUUUGUGACUGCAAGGCUAGAGUGCGGCAGAGGGAGAUGGAAUUCCGCGUGUAGCAGUGAAAUGCGUAGAUAUGCGGAGGAACACCGAUGGCGAAGGCAAUCUCCUGGGCCUGCACUGACGCUCAUGCACGAAAGCGUGGGGAGCAAACNGGAUUAAUACCCUGGUAGUCCACGCCCUAAANGAUGUCAACUGGUUGUUGGACGGCUUGCUGUUCAGUAACGAAGCUAACGCGUGAAGUUGACCGCCUGGGGAGUACGGCCGCAAGGUUGAAACUCAAAUGAAUUGAC
This 565-nucleotide ribosomal RNA is filed under the name uncultured bacterium. RNAcentral's name for it is "partial 16S ribosomal RNA". It matches the Rfam family "Bacterial small subunit ribosomal RNA", at positions 355 to 914 of the family's 1533-position model. The record is from RNAcentral.